GCGCCUGUAGCUCAACUGGAUAGAGCAACGGCCUUCUAAGCCGUAGGUUACAGGUUCGAUUCCUGUCAGGCGCACCA
This 77-nucleotide transfer RNA is filed under the name Acidithiobacillus ferridurans. Its description in RNAcentral is "tRNA-Arg". It matches the Rfam family "tRNA". From Rfam's summary of the family: Transfer RNA (tRNA) molecules are approximately 80 nucleotides in length. Their secondary structure includes four short double-helical elements and three loops (D, anti-codon, and T loops). Lineage: Bacteria; Pseudomonadati; Pseudomonadota; Acidithiobacillia; Acidithiobacillales; Acidithiobacillaceae. The record is from RNAcentral. RNAcentral also lists the same sequence under 3 other names.